Molecule: ribosomal RNA, 253 nt
Filed under: uncultured bacterium
Lineage: Bacteria
Description: partial 16S ribosomal RNA
Rfam family: Bacterial small subunit ribosomal RNA
Source: RNAcentral
UACGAAGGGGGCUAGCGUUGUUCGGAAUUACUGGGCGUAAAGCGUGCGCAGGCGGCUUCUCAAGUCAGGGGUGAAAGCCCAGAGCUCAACUCUGGAAUUGCCUUUGAGACUGAGUGGCUUGAGUACGAGAGAGGUGAGUGGAAUUCCCAGUGUAGAGGUGAAAUUCGUAGAUAUUGGGAAGAACACCGGUGGCGGAGGCGGCUCACUGGCUCGUAACUGACGCUCAUGCACGACAGCGUGGGGAUCAAACAGG